UCCAUCUGAGGCUCUCACCAAAAUAUAUAAUAUAUAUAAUAUAUAUUAUAUUAAUAGGCACUUGCAGAUGUUGUCCCUUUCUCUUUCUUAAACUCUAGCUUUUAGAUAGAGGCGAUCUUCUAGAUUCAUCUAUGGCUUCGAAGCGGAUCUUAAAGGAGCUCAAGGACCUCCAGAUGAAAGAUCCUCCUCCUAACUCUUGCAGUGCUGCUUCUUUUCCGGCUUGAUCUGUGUUGUUUCUAGUUUAUGAGGAUCUGGGUUCUGAUCCGUGAUGGUGUUUUGGGAUGAAGAAAGAAAAAGUACCAGGGAAAGAGAGAUGGGCUCUUAGACGAAAGAUAAUAAAAUAAUCUUUUGAUCCUUCUACAGUAGCUCGCGUUGGCCAAGAAAACUAAUUUACUGUAGCAAUAAGUCAAGAUAGCAUGAAUUUAGCUAGUCUGAUGUGAGAACUUUUUGACAAAUACGGUCAAAUUAUAGACUUGCAUUGGCAUUUGACAUU
Carya illinoinensis is the source of this 493-nucleotide long non-coding RNA. RefSeq lists it as uncharacterized. NCBI's taxonomy places the organism in Eukaryota, Viridiplantae, Streptophyta, Magnoliopsida, Fagales, Juglandaceae. The transcript is spliced from 2 exons. The record is from RefSeq and is a predicted model, not a curated record.